This 467-nucleotide ribosomal RNA is filed under the name uncultured bacterium. Its description in RNAcentral is "partial 16S ribosomal RNA". It matches the Rfam family "Bacterial small subunit ribosomal RNA", at positions 28 to 507 of the family's 1533-position model. The record is from RNAcentral.
GAUGAACGCUGGCGGCGUGCUUAACACAUGCAAGUCGAACGGAAAGGCCCAAGCUUGCUUGGGUACUCGAGUGGCGAACGGGUGAGUAACACGUGGGUGAUCUGCCCUGCACUUCGGGAUAAGCCUGGGAAACUGGGUCUAAUACCGGAUAGGACCACUUCUUGGAUGUUGUGGUGGAAAGUUUUUUCGGUGUGGGAUGAGCUCGCGGCCUAUCAGCUUGUUGGUGGGGUAAUGGCCUACCAAGGCGUCGACGGGUAGCCGGCCUGAGAGGGUGUACGGCCACAUUGGGACUGAGAUACGGCCCCGACGCCUACGGGAGGCAGCAGUGGGGAAUAUUGCACAAUGGGCGCAAGCCUGAUGCAGCGACGCCGCGGGGGGGAUGACGGCCUUCGGGUUGUAAACUCCUUUCGCUAGGGACGAAGCGUUUUGUGACGGUACCUGGAGAAGAAGCACCGGCUAACUACGUG